ACUCCGGUACAAGUCAUAACCAUAUCCAGAUCUGGUUUGUAUAGGUGACUGAGAUAACCUCAGCCUCAUCUCAGGAAGUGGCCACUUUUGGAGAGUCCGACUAUCACGGUAGGCACAGAACUCUGCCAUGUCACUAGCUGAAUGACCUCGGAUGUCACUUCAACUCUGAGCCUUAGAACUUGUCAACUGCAAAGUGGGGCACUUCACCGAGCUACAUCAUUGAGCUACUUCACUGAGCUACUUCAUUGAAUUGGGAAAAUUAAAGGAGCAAAUAUGGGAGAAGGAUUUGGCCCAUAGUAAACACUAUGACUGUCCGUCUUCUGCCAUCUUUCAGUAGACCCAGUGGAAUUAUAUGAAGGUUGAUAGGCACUUAAACCAAGAAUAUAUGAACAUCUAUUCUGUGCAAGAUGUGUGCAUUGAACUCAGUCCAGGACUGAAGGGGACAGGAGGAAGCAAACUUGGAAAUCAUGUCUUAGAGAUCAAGGAGCCAAGAGAUGAGACAAGCCUGGGUUCCUAGGUGAUAGGGUGUGGCUGUGUCCCCACCCAAAUCUCGUCUUGAAUUGUAGCUCCCAUAAUCCCCACAUGUUGUGGAGGGACCCUGUGGAAGAUUGUGCCUGCAGCCUGGCCUGUUGCCCACAGCGGUCUACCUGCCACACUGGGAAAGAUCGAGCAGAGACAGAGAAGAAAAGGAGGCUCCAUUUUUCAGGCUGCUCUCCCGCAGGCUCAUGUUUUGUGUUCAUGCCAGGCAGAGAACACAAAAUGUUCCAAUAAAUAAGUAUCAAAGGUUAGUGGUGAAAAUGAAGGAGGAGGAGGCAUUGCGUGAAAAACUAAACAUGCAAAAUAUUACACACAAAGAGAACCAAAAUGCAGGUUCACUGGAAAUGAUAGACAAUAUGUUAAAACAAGAGGAGAGAAGAGAGCUGAAAUAAUCAAAUGGAAACACACAAUUUAGGGCUAAGAUCUUGUUGUGUUCAGCCACAAAUGAUGGCCAGCAGUGAGGAAUCUGUGUGUUCUCCACACUCUUCGCUCCUGGGAAGUCAACUCACAUGGACCAUGAUAUCAAUAUCUGCUCCUUCCCCUAAUAUCUGUUUGACCUUGGGUCAGUUACUUAAACUUCCUAAGCCUUAGUUUCUUUGUCUGGAAAAUAGGGAUAGUUAUACCUACCACACAACCACUUUGUAAUGAAUAUGUUGGAAAUUAUAUGCAAAUUGGCUUCCGUUGGUGUUUGGAACAUAGUAGGUUUUUAACUGGAAUAUAAUAGCUACCAUUAUCAGUAUCAUCAUAUUAAUUUAUAUUUCCAUCUUCAGCCCUUAACCCAGGAUCUUCAGUAAAUGUUGAAUUCUCAAAUUUGUUAAAUUCACUUGUCUAUACUAAUAUUUUACUCUAGGUUUCUUAGAAUAUUCUAGAUAAUAUUAUUAUGUAGAAUAUGUUAUGUAAGCUUCAUCUUAUCUGUAAAUAUAGUUUUACUUUUUCCUUUCUAAUUUUUAUGUCGAUUACUUCUUUUUCUUGGCUUAUUGAAUUGGCUAGGAUUCCCGUACAGUGUUGAAUACGUGCAGCAAGACUGCACAUCUUGCCUUGUUCCUGGUCCCACAGAGAGAAUAUCCAGUACUUCACAAUAAGUAUGUGUUAAUUGUAGAUUUUAUUAGAUUGAGGAAGUUCCCUUUCCUUUCAAGUCAGUCUUUUUAUUUUAAACAUGUAUUGAAGUUUUGUCAAAUGUCUUCAUCUAUUGGAAUAAUUAUACAUAUCUCUUUUUUAUUCUGUUAAUAUUACAUUUCAAUCUUCUGUCUACCUAAAAUCCCUAGAAUAAUCUCCAUUUGGCUAUGAUGUGUUGUGCUUUUAUAUAUUACUGAAUUCUAUAUGCCAAUAUUAUUAAAAUUUUCUGUCUUUAUGAGAAAUAUUUGAAUGUAUAUUUUUUCAUGUAUUUGUUUUGAUUUUAUUUUCAAUGCCAUUUUGUAAAAGAGCAUUAAAGUGUUAGUAUGA
This 1980-nucleotide long non-coding RNA is filed under the name Homo sapiens (human). Its description in RNAcentral is "non-protein coding lnc-GSDMC-34:20". Lineage: Eukaryota; Metazoa; Chordata; Mammalia; Primates; Hominidae. The record is from RNAcentral.